GGAUCGGAUCAACUGAUUUUUAUGAUUUAAUAACUAAGAUUAUGAGACUGAAAUUCAUUUUAUCGUUCGUAAGGUUAUAUCCGUCUUGUUCAUUUCUGCCAGAUAACAAAGAUUAAUCAUGUUCCGGAUUUCACUCUCUUUCCAUAGAAAACGGUGAUUCGAAUUGAUUACAAUAGAUUGUAUUUACGGAUUCGUGGUUCAGAAUCUGGGUUUUCAUCGAACAUGAACGAUAAAGAGAAAAUGGUGGAGCCGAUCCGACGGAGGUUGAUUUUUCGGCGAACUAUGCUGAUUUUUUUGUGUCUUUACUUUUGGGAAUUGGCAGAUGACCUGGAUGAAACGUCGAUUUUUGACCCAAAGAAAAGAAAAAUCUCGGGUGCUGCGGUAAGGUGUUUCUCUUCUUGAUGAAAGAUUGAUUUUUUUCUUUUUUCUUGUUACUCUUUUAUCAAUUGAUAGAUUUGGGGAUUUGCAUUUUGGAAUUGUUAAUUCGAAAGAUGUGAAGGUGAUAGAAUGUGAUGAUAAGGAAGAAGAAGAAGAUGAAUGGUUGCCUCCUCCACCAAAGGAUUGGUGCCAGUAUAUUACGAUCACAAAUAUUUUUAUUUUCAUAUGCUAUCGCAGAUUGAACUUUCUAGUUCGUGAAACUACAAAUACUUAUGCAAAAUCGAAGCCCUUGCUGGACUUCCAGGUUCGGAAAUCGCGGCAGGUUAUCUCCAUUUGAGUUUUAAUUUAAUUUGAGAGAAUAUGUGACAGAAACCCAAGUUUUGACAUGGUUUUAGCUGUGAGUUGAAUAUGGAUGCUAGAAAUGCAAGGGGAACUGUGAAUGAUCGCAAAAAGCAAAAAAAUGUUAGGCAAACAUGGAGAGCAGUGUCUUCUUAGCCCAAUUUCUCCGAGGGAACUGUCAGUUGCUCAUCAUCCGAACCAACAAAGCAAACGAACUAGGUUGUCCAUUUAGAUGUUAUCAUUGUAUUGGGUAAUGAAGUGGGUAUAGACCUGGUUUGGGAGUGAGGCUUAAUUUGACAGUCAUGGCUAAUGAUAUGGGUACAGACUUUGUUGUGUCGAUUUUUUUCAUUCUUUGUACAGUUGUUUUAUGUUGAUCGGUUCGAUAUUACAACGACGCCAUCCAAAAGGGAUUUUCCCAUCUUGUUUUAUGCAACUACAAGUUUUUGGUUUGUAAUAGUUUAUCAGGAUGCUUUUGUUUUAGCAAGUUUAUUUGGUCUGCUUGUUGCAGUUUCAAACACAUUGUUUUAAUGAAAUUGUGUUCGAGUUU
Salvia miltiorrhiza (redroot sage) is the source of this 1264-nucleotide long non-coding RNA. RefSeq lists it as uncharacterized. The record is from RefSeq and is a predicted model, not a curated record. NCBI's taxonomy places the organism in Eukaryota, Viridiplantae, Streptophyta, Magnoliopsida, Lamiales, Lamiaceae. The transcript has 4 exons.